This is a long non-coding RNA of Girardinichthys multiradiatus, 671 nucleotides long. RefSeq lists it as uncharacterized. The transcript has 3 exons. NCBI's taxonomy places the organism in Eukaryota, Metazoa, Chordata, Actinopteri, Cyprinodontiformes, Goodeidae. The record is from RefSeq and is a predicted model, not a curated record.
AUGCACACCCUGACACACUCAGAGCUUCAUGUGCAAAACCAGCAUCAAAACCUAUCUGAGCUGGCUGGCAUUUUCCGGAACUGGACCUGGAUGUUUGGAGCCACAGGAAGGCACAUUCCCGGGAUCGUUCCCAGCCAGAAGCACCAGGAUGCCUGGAGGAUGACAGUGCUCUGAAAUUCUGUUCACAGAUUCUACUGGCCCCUCCAGGGAAGUUAUAUUAAGCAGGCUGAAUGGAAAGAGAGGCUAACCAACAGAACACAGCAACAAGAUGAAGAAACAAUCAAGAUAAAGAUGAAGUUUGAAGACUGCUAUCCUGUACAAAUCGCCGAAGUGGAGUGUUCCUGUGCAGCUGGUACUGUGUUGUGCAAUCACAGUGUUGCACUACUGUACCAGACCGCACACUACUCUGCUCUGAAUUUGACUGCUGUGCCGCCUAUACUAAGCUGUACUGAAUCGGAACAGAGCUGGCACAAACCAAGGACCAUGGGAGUGAAACCAGGAUGUGAACGCAACAAGGAUGGAAACAUAGUUUUGCAAAGUAUUUUAAUUGAACAUAUCACCUGAAGAAGCCUAUUUAACAGUUUGAGAAACAAAAUUAACCAACACCCACAUUUAGCUUUUUGCCAUCGCAUCUAAAUCUAUACCAUUUCAUUAAACAUCUGAGAAUUUAA